Long non-coding RNA from Lagopus leucura (white-tailed ptarmigan), 100 nucleotides. RefSeq lists it as uncharacterized. NCBI's taxonomy places the organism in Eukaryota, Metazoa, Chordata, Aves, Galliformes, Phasianidae. The record is from RefSeq and is a predicted model, not a curated record. The transcript has 3 exons.
AUUGUGAACUGGAAAAGUCAGACAGUGCCUGUUGGGAGGCCCUGGCGCUGCUUCAGAGCAGGGAGCUCAUUCCAUGAGAAAUCAUGCAUGCAAGCAAGGG